RNAcentral lists this ribosomal RNA (484 nucleotides) under uncultured bacterium. RNAcentral's name for it is "partial 16S ribosomal RNA". It matches the Rfam family "Bacterial small subunit ribosomal RNA", at positions 30 to 507 of the family's 1533-position model. The record is from RNAcentral.
AUUGAACGCUGGCGGCAGGCCUAACACAUGCAAGUCGAGCGGAUGAAGGGAGCUUGCUCCUGGAUUCAGCGGCGGACGGGUGAGUAAUGCCUAGGAAUCUGCCUGGUAGUGGGGGAUAACGUCCGGAAACGGGCGCUAAUGCCGCAUACGUCCUGAGGGAGAAAGUGGGUGAUCUUCGGACCUCACUCUAUCAGAUGAGCCUAGGUCGGAUUAGCUAGUUGGUGGGGUAAAGGCCUACCAAGGCGACGAUCCGUAACUGGUCUGAGAGGAGGAUGAGUCACACUGGAACUGAGAAACGGUCCAAACUCCUAGGGGAGGCAGCAGUGGGGAAUAUUGGACAAUGGGCGAAAGCCUGAUCCAGCCAUGCCGCGGGGGUGAAGAAGGUCUUCGGAUUGUAAAGCCCUUUAAGUUGGGAGGAAGGGCAGUAAGGUAAUACCUUGCUGUUUUGACGUUACCAACAGAAUAAGCACCGGCUAACUUCGUG